RNAcentral lists this ribosomal RNA (253 nucleotides) under uncultured bacterium. Its description in RNAcentral is "partial 16S ribosomal RNA". It matches the Rfam family "Bacterial small subunit ribosomal RNA", at positions 524 to 776 of the family's 1533-position model. The record is from RNAcentral.
UACAGAGGGUGCGAGCGUUGUUCGGAAUUAUUGGGCGUAAAGCGCGUGUAGGCGGCGAUGCAAGUCGGGUGUGAAAGCCCUCAGCUUAACUGAGGAAGUGCGCCCAAAACUGCGUUGCUUGAGUACCGGAGAGGAUGGCGGAAUUCCCCAAGUAGAGGUGAAAUUCGUAGAGAUGUGGAGGAACACCAGUGGCGAAGGCGGCUUUCUGGUCUGUAACUGACGCUGAGGCGCGAAAGCGUGGGGAGCAAACAGG